Molecule: transfer-messenger RNA, 355 nt
Filed under: Verrucomicrobiia
Lineage: Bacteria; Pseudomonadati; Verrucomicrobiota
Also listed under: 1 other name
Description: SXXZ01 sp005805505 Standard tmRNA
Rfam family: transfer-messenger RNA
About the family: Bacterial tmRNA, also known as 10Sa RNA or SsrA, is named for its dual tRNA and mRNA-like properties. Its role is to liberate the mRNA from a stalled ribosome.
Source: RNAcentral
GGGGGCGUACCGGUUUCGACUAGGUGAUCCUGCCCGGGAUGGCAUGCCGAGGAUGAUUCGUUGGCCUCGUAAAACAUCGAGUCAAAAACAUAACUGCUAACGAAGAGUUGGCUCUCGCGGCCUAAUCGGCUCGACGUUUCGCCCUGAACACCUGCUACGGGGACGGAACGCUAUCAGCAGGCAUGACCUCCGGCGGAGUACGCGCGUCGGUAGUCGAGAAACUUCAUGCGGGCUGGGAAAUGUCGGUCUACGUCAGCCGGUCACGACAUUUCCGAGAACAAAAGGCUGACUAAGCAUGUAGUCGUUUCGGGUUGAAUGGCUUAGGACGCGGGUUCAAUUCCCGCCGCCUCCACCA